CAAGUGCUUGAGAAGUCCUUGUGAUUGCCCAUUAAGAUCUAUUACGGCCCAGCAAACGGUGUUUCAGUAAAUGGUAGAGAGCCGAAAUGGCUUCUUAUGUGCAAAUCAUGGAUCAUUAUGGUGGUUUCCUCAUACCUACCUCUUAGUUGUGGCAUUUUUCUUUUUCUUUGUUUAUAUUGUAUUUAUUGCAUAUCUGAUCUAUAAGAUUGACACUUCUUGCCUGCUGCCAGGACCAAAUGACCCAAUAAGGCCUAGCAAGGCCACCAAGCCCAUAACUUUGAUCGCGGCCGGAUAUUUUCCACCAUAAUCUCGACCAUAGAAUUUCCCAUCCUAUUUUGUCCAAUUUAGAGGGUGAAUGAAGGGCUAAAUGACAUGUUAGUGGCCUAAUGCAACAUUGUUCACUAUCAAUUGAGCUCAAGAUGAGGAGGUAGCAUAUCAAUGAAUAGCUUAACGUACAAGUGAUUUGCCAAUAAUUCUAUCACUAAAUUUAGAUUGAUGACAUGCAACAAAAGAUUCAUUAAACUAGUAAAAGUGCUACACUUAGCUAGGG
Molecule: long non-coding RNA, 550 nt
Filed under: Elaeis guineensis (African oil palm)
Lineage: Eukaryota; Viridiplantae; Streptophyta; Magnoliopsida; Arecales; Arecaceae
Description: long non-coding RNA (EGUI_LNC022386)
Source: RNAcentral